UACAGAGGUCCCAAGCGUUGUUCGGAUUCACUGGGCGUAAAGGGUGCGUAGGCGGUCGGGUAAGUCUGAUGUGAAAUCUCACAGCUUAACUGUGAAACUGCAUUGGAUACUAUUCGGCUUGAGAGUUGGAGGGGGGGACUGGAAUUCUUGGUGUAGCAGUGAAAUGCGUAGAUAUCAAGAGGAACACCAGUGGCGAAGGCGAGUCCCCUGGACAACUUCUGACGCUGAGGCACGAAAGCUAGGGGGAGCAAACAGG
This 256-nucleotide ribosomal RNA is filed under the name uncultured bacterium. RNAcentral describes it as "partial 16S ribosomal RNA". It matches the Rfam family "Bacterial small subunit ribosomal RNA", at positions 524 to 776 of the family's 1533-position model. The record is from RNAcentral.